CCUACGGGCGGCAGCAGUGGGGAAUAUUGCACAAUGGGGGAAACCCUGAUGCAGCGACGCCGCGUGAGUGAAGAAGUCUUUCGGUAUGUUAAGCUCUUUCAGUAUGGAAGAAAAUGACGCUACCUGACUAAGAAUCCCUGGCUAACUACGUGCCAGCAGCCGCGGUAAUACGUAGGGUGCAAGCGUUAUCCGGAUUUACUGGGUGUAACGGGAGCGUAGACGGUUAUGUAAGUCGGAAGUGAAAGCCCUAGGCUCAACCAUGAGACUGCAUUGGAAACUGUAAAACUGGAGUGCAGGAGAGGUAAGCGGAAUUCAUGGUGUAGCGGUGAAAUGCGUAGAUAUUAGGAGGAACACCAGUGGCGAAGGCAGCUUACUGGACUGUAACUGACGUUGAGGCUCGAAGGCGUGGGGAGCAAACAGGAUUAGAUACCCUAGUAGUC
Molecule: ribosomal RNA, 440 nt
Filed under: uncultured bacterium
Lineage: Bacteria
Description: partial 16S ribosomal RNA
Rfam family: Bacterial small subunit ribosomal RNA
Source: RNAcentral